Alexandromys fortis (reed vole) is the source of this 478-nucleotide long non-coding RNA. RefSeq lists it as uncharacterized. The record is from RefSeq and is a predicted model, not a curated record. NCBI's taxonomy places the organism in Eukaryota, Metazoa, Chordata, Mammalia, Rodentia, Cricetidae. The transcript has 3 exons.
CCGCCAGCCACCUUCAGCUGCUUUCUGCUUGCUCCCCAGGACCGCUGGAAACCUGAUGUAACCAAAAUACAUUAUUCACUGGCAAGGAAGAGCAACUUGGAGUCACCCCGAGAAGGGAGAGCAAAGGCAAGAAUCCCAUCUUUACAGGGACUAGAGAGGGGAAUGCAGAAGAUGCUGAGGAUAGAAGAUGGGAACCAUCACCCUGGGGAGUCUGCAGAAUGCCCCUCACCCAAUUAGCAGCAAUCUCUUAGCGGAACCGCCUCACAUUCCAGCUAUCCAGGGAACCAGGUGUGGCCACUUGACUUCCUAGCCUACCUCCUGGCCUACAUGACCUGGAACACGCGGCAAGAAUCCAGUUGCCCUGCCCCCCAUUCCUUACCAUAUAUAAACUGUAACCCGUCCCUAAUAAACGGAGGCUUUGACAAAACUGCUUGGCCUCCUUCUUCUGUCUUAGCUCAUUCCCUUUCAGGUAGCGCCC